RNAcentral lists this long non-coding RNA (2438 nucleotides) under Zea mays. Its description in RNAcentral is "long non-coding RNA (ZMAY_LNC000291)". Lineage: Eukaryota; Viridiplantae; Streptophyta; Magnoliopsida; Poales; Poaceae. The record is from RNAcentral.
UGACAAGAAGAAAAAGAAGAUGAAGAAGGUGGUCUACUAUGAGACCGACUCAUCCACGCCCUCAAAUUCCGACGUCGAGUCGACAUCUUCAAAGCACCAAGAGCUUAAGAAGUAUAGUAAGAUUGUCACACCCUGAUUUUAAGGGUCCAAAACCCGGGCGUGAAAUAAUCAUCAAGUGUGCUAGGAUCAAGUCUCACACAUAUGAUGACUCAUGGUACAGAAACGAAUGUCACAUCAUUAAUAUAUAACAGAUUUCUGUAAAAAAUAGUUAAAUAAUUACAUCAUAUGAAGACAACGAUCCAACAACCAAAGUUUACUAGGAGACGACAGCCUAGACCACUCACGAACUCAUCACAACAUCCAUCAUGUGCCUUAUCCUGGUGUACCUGUUCUUGACCUGGGGGGAUGUGAGUACAACAAGGGUGAACUCACAUACGUUCAUCGCUCAACAAGUUGUGGGGAAUAAUGUGCAUGAACUCACCAAAGGUGCGAGCUCAUGUGAAGUGUAAGGCUUACCAAAGAAGAUGGUUAAAGCUGAGCAUUGCUUUUAAAGUUGGGAAAGUUGGUCAAAAUUUUAUUAUCAGUUACUAGGUAUAAAUAGAUACCAACCCAAUUAAAUAAGAGAUCAAGAUUAAUAACAACAACCACAAUGCAAUGCAAAUGACAAAUUGAGUUUAACUUCAUAAGUUAAUCAUGUGAUUGUUCGAGCCGCUCAUGACCGUGAACACGGCUGAUAUACCAGUUUUACACUCUGCAGAGGUUGCACAUCUUUACCCACAAGUCGUGUUACCCAUUUGUCACGGGGUUGUAUAGACCCCAUACACCUCUACCAAGGAAGCGAGGCAGGGUAGCACUAUGAGGCCUUUCCAAAGUUCCACUAGUUCGAGAAAACCCGCUACGGAUUUAGGAAGAAGGAAGCAUAGGAAUCUGUCGUCCGAAAAGCUUACAGAUAGUUCGACCCGAGGACCUCCCUAUACUCUACAACGGCGCCUCCCCGCUUGCCCCUAACCGAGUAAGGUAAUCUCUCCCUAGCUUUCCUAAUUACUUGGCCAAGGGCGUACCAUUCCACCCUUAUGGUAGCACUGUUGUCCCGGGUGGUUCUCCAUGUUCCAGUUAACAAUAUGAUCUUAUCAUGAACAAUAAUUAAACAGCAACAUAAUUGGAACAUGAUCAUAAUAAAACAUUAGUUUCCCAAGACCAGGUAGAGCAAUAGCAAAUCUACCCAAUAAUUCAUCUAUUUGCAAGGUGGGGAUAAACAAUACUAUGGAAACCUAUUAGGUCCCGUCGAAUUAACCUGAGCAUGUCACAAUGAUUAACAACGAACAUUAUUAGGUAAAAGGAGUGAUCAAGGGCACAACUUGCAUUAGACUUGAGAUCUCAGGUACUAGGAUGAUCUUUCGAUUCUCGUGGCCUCGCUGCUAUUCGUAGCAAUUCAAACCAACAUGGUAUAGGAAAAAUUAACAUCACACCAAACAUAAGCACAAACUGCAUAUUAAUAUUCGCAUCGUAACGAGAUUCUCGAGAACCACUAAAUUCGGAGUUACUGUGAUUAAGUUAUGAUUUUCCGAAGAUUUAAGUGUAUAUUAUAAAACAAAUGAGGUACAAGAUUUUAACCACAGGUUUUAUGGUAAUACAUGGUUACUAGAUGAUGAAGAAUAUUACUAGAGAUUAAUGCAAUUGGAAUGGGUCAAAAAGAGUCAAAAUGAAUUACUUAUGAAUUAAACAAAUAUCUGGAAUUAUUUCUAUACUAAAAAUUAUUUUCUGUAUUAAUUCAUCUCAUUUAUUCACUAUAUGGGCUGCGGGCACUAAUCUGGAGUUUCCCAGGGUCUAUUCUACAAAAUUCAGGGCCACAGCGCAAUGGUCUUAUCAAUAUUCCGGACUGCAGGUUCAUUUCAACAACCAACGACUGCGAAUAGAUAUGUUCGUGUGCUAAUCAGAGCCGCUCCAUGUGAGAUCGACGCCCACCGGCAGGAGUUCAUCAGGACCGAUCAACACCCAAUCUAUGGCCGCGAUAUAAUGAGCGAAUCGGUAUGAGGCCCUUCUAAUCUCAGCCCUACGCCAGACGAUCAACGGCUAGGAGCUUAUCUUCCUCCCCCAGCCAGAAUGCGAACUGCACGCCGCCCAAACCCCUCACAACGGCGGACAUGACAGGAGCCCCCCCGGGGUCGACCCUACGGCCCUACCUCGCCCUAACCUCUAGUUGAACGGCCCUACGUACAGCGAAGACGGCAACCAGAGAAGAUACCCACCCCAUGACGGCGUUCUACCCGGCUCACGACGGAAGGCGGAUCUGCGAUGGAGGAGAGCACCAACGACGAAUUCCGGCCCGUACAGGCCGAGUUCUUGGCCGAUGAUGCCACGCCCGUAUUCCUUGGUCGAUGGCGAAGCUCCAGGUAUAAUUCCCAAGCUUCGUACGCCGACGCGUUUGAGCUUCUUGU